This 202-nucleotide unclassified non-coding RNA is filed under the name Neohypochnicium punctulatum. RNAcentral's name for it is "Hypochnicium punctulatum partial internal transcribed spacer 2". Lineage: Eukaryota; Fungi; Basidiomycota; Agaricomycetes; Polyporales. The record is from RNAcentral.
UAUUCUCAAUCCAUCUGGUUCUGUCACCGGAAUUAUGGUGGACUUGGAUGUGGAGGUUUUUGCUGGUCUUUGAUGAUCAGCUCCUCUGAAAUGCAUCAGCAUAAACACUUUGCUGCUCUCAGUGUGAUAAUUAUCUGCACUGUGGUAAAGCUCUUGAGUUAUUGCUUCUAAUUGUCUGUUUGCUCAGACAACUUUCAUUGAC